This is a long non-coding RNA of Lingula anatina, 274 nucleotides long. Lineage: Eukaryota; Metazoa; Brachiopoda; Lingulata; Lingulida; Lingulidae. The record is from RefSeq and is a predicted model, not a curated record.
GUAAAGAGGACAAGGCCGGGUGGUGUGCGGACUGUACUGAGACCACUCCAUAUUGUGGAUAUGGGAAGUGUAACAUAUUCGGCUGUGCUUGUGAUGGAGGCUGCAGAAAGGACUGCAACCCCUGGUACAGCGAUUGGCAUCGUCCGCCUUUCUGGCACGGCUAUUACCGAAAAUGCGAAUGCCUAAACAAGAGAUCUGUGGAAGAUGGGACUGGGGGAGGUAUUGUCGCUAGAGAUACAUACCUAAAUUGAUGCACAUCUACAUGGGGUAAGGU